Molecule: ribosomal RNA, 120 nt
Filed under: Oryza sativa Indica Group (long-grained rice)
Lineage: Eukaryota; Viridiplantae; Streptophyta; Magnoliopsida; Poales; Poaceae
Source: RNAcentral
GGAUGCGAUCAUACCAGCACUAAAGCACCGGAUCCCAUCAGAACUCCGAAGUUAAGCGUGCUUGGGCGAGAGUAGUACUAGGAUGGUUGACCUCCUGUGUCACACCCUGAUUUUCGUUUC